This 638-nucleotide long non-coding RNA is filed under the name Equus caballus (horse). Its description in RNAcentral is "lncRNA (ENSECAG00000049224.1)". The record is from RNAcentral. Lineage: Eukaryota; Metazoa; Chordata; Mammalia; Perissodactyla; Equidae.
UUUAUAAAGUGCUUUGCUAAGACAUUUUCUUCCAGAGAAGCAGCCUGGGAGGAGAGCUGAAAACCUGUGAUGGAGGGUGGCUGGGUAAUAUUAGACAAAUCCCCAAGCCAUCGUUUCCUCAUCCGCCUGGUACCGACAGGAAUCCCCUUCCCGACAACUUCACAAGAUGGCGGCCACAUAAAACAGGAAGAGGAGAGACGUGAUUCCAGCCUCACAGGGCCUACAGUCUAGUAGGGAGAGAUGAGAAAAUAGACAAUGAAGACACAGGUGCAGGAAAGUUUCCUGAGGAAGCCAAGUCUGCGCUGGGCCCUGAAAGACAAGCAGAACUUCUGAGCUUGAAGAACUCCUUUCAACAUUUCUUGUAAGGCAGAUCUAGUGGUGAUAAAGUCUCUCAGCUUUUGUUUGACUGGGAAAGUCUUUAUAUCUCCUUUAUUUUUGAAGCACAGCUUUAACAGGAAGAUUAGCCCUGAGCUAACAUCUGCUGCCAAUCCUCCUCUUUUUGCUGAGGAAGCCUGGUCCUGAGUUCACAUCCACGCCCAUCUUCUUCUACUUUAUAUGUGGGACGCCUGCCACAGCAUGGCUUGACAAGCAGUGCCAUGUCCGCACCCGGGAUCUGAACCAGUUAACCCUGGGCCGUG